This 205-nucleotide ribosomal RNA is filed under the name Staphylococcus aureus. RNAcentral describes it as "partial 23S ribosomal RNA". It matches the Rfam family "Bacterial large subunit ribosomal RNA", at positions 1361 to 1561 of the family's 2925-position model. The record is from RNAcentral. Lineage: Bacteria; Bacillati; Bacillota; Bacilli; Caryophanales; Staphylococcaceae.
AAGGCUCGUCCGCUCUGGGUUAGUCGGGUCCUAAGCUGAGGCCGACAGGCGUAGGCGAUGGAUAACAGGUUGAUAUUCCUGUACCACCUAUAAUCGUUUUAAUCGAUGGGGGGACGCAGUAGGAUAGGCGAAGCGUGCGAUUGGAUUGCACGUCUAAGCAGUAAGGCUGAGUAUUAGGCAAAUCCGGUACUCGUUAAGGCUGAGC